This 1330-nucleotide long non-coding RNA is filed under the name Mus pahari (shrew mouse). RNAcentral's name for it is "DNA methyltransferase 3A, opposite strand (MGP_PahariEiJ_G0003849.1)". Lineage: Eukaryota; Metazoa; Chordata; Mammalia; Rodentia; Muridae. The record is from RNAcentral.
CAUUUCACAUCUGGGAUGGAAGUGUGAGUUCACUGCUAUCUGGCAGUGAGGAACCUUGAGGGGUGGUAAAGCCAGUCUGACUGUGCCACCUCCCGAGGGCCCAGCAGCUGGCCUAUCCAUCCAGCAGUCUAUGCUUCGGGCUCUUCAUCUGGGAAAGAGAAAAUGCUGAGAAGAUGCACUGCUGUCUGCCUCAGCAGCCGGGGUUCCGGAGGCUGCAGCACAAAGGGGAAGUGCCAGCCCCCAUGCCAUGUGUCUGACCCACCUCAGCGCGGGAACUUCCUCUGUCAGUCUGUCACUCUGCAAGGUUGAGGCUUCCCCCACAGAGCCGCCCGAGAUCAUCCUAGAGGCUUCCUUCUUGCCCGAGGAUCACACAGCCUCCUCACCCAAGGACUCACUUCCUGUUGGUAUCAACUUCGUAGCCUGGGGAGCCAGCCCAGAGUGAUAUCUCUCUGCCUGGCCACAGUCUUUCAAGCACUGCCUCUGAAGACGACAGCCAGCACGGCCCUGAGACAGACAUUCCACGGGUCACUGCUGUCCAUCUUAGGAGGCACUGAGCACUGCUGCAGGAGACAGCAUGGGAGAGGCAAGAGCAGCAGCAAGGACCUUCUCCUCUGCAGAACUAGGGAGACGGAGACCCUGGAGAUGGAGACACUAAUGACCCAGAAUCCAGUCAAACCUGGUUCCUUUGCCAUUGUCUGCCUCCCCCACCAACAUGCAUCACUCUGGGUCUGUCAGCCCUGCUGUCAGCCUAGGCUUGGCUCCGAAAGCCCUCAUCACACAGAUGGUGGAUGUGGAGAGCGGCUGGGUUCAACCUCACCCCGAGGGCCAGUAGAGUCCACCAUGGCUUGCACCCCCAGAAGUUCUCAGAGUUUGCUGACCUUUGUCCCCCGCCAAAAAACGAUCCUGUCCCUGUCUCUAGACAACCUCUCCCCUGCUUCCCUGCAGCCCAGCCCCCUCCACAGCCUCUGCUUCACGAAACACAUUCGGGCAGAGUUCAUGGGUGGUUCCUGCCAGGGAAACACCACUGCUCCCCUCAGGACAUUUGGCAAUGCGGCAGAAGAUUGGUUUGGUGUCACGUGUCACACGCUGGCAACUAGUGGAUACAGGUCAAGGAUGCUGUUACACGCCCUAACAUCUACCAUGGCUAUAAGGAAUACAUUAAAAAAAAAAAAAAAACCUAACAACACAACAGAGAUUUUGUGCUCGCUAGCUGUGGUGAGCCAGACCUGCAAGGCCAGCACCUGUGAGACUGACAUAAGAGGUUUGCUACAAGUUCAAGGCCAGGGCUGGGCUAUGUCGGGAGACCUUGUCUCAAAAAACAAAAAUAAAC